Molecule: long non-coding RNA, 482 nt
Organism: Arachis duranensis
Lineage: Eukaryota; Viridiplantae; Streptophyta; Magnoliopsida; Fabales; Fabaceae
Exons: 2
Source: RefSeq, a predicted model, not a curated record
UUGCCAUUGAGUGCCUAUAAAUAUUUAAGAGUUCUUUUGAGUCUCUUCUAUAGUAUAUGAAUUAAGUUUUUAAAUCUAUCAAUAUGAAAAUACUUUUUUAUUUUUUCGUCUUCGUAUUUGUUCUUUGCGUAGACUUUGGAAAUAACCAAAUUAAGAUGACAGAGGCGAACAAGAUAACAUGCAUGGGAUGUGCAGCCGGUGCCGAGUAUUGUUCACCAUCCAAUCCAAGAAAUAAAAAUGACCCAAAUGCGGCAUGUAAUAGUAUUUGCGUGUUUUUUCAUGGUAAGGAUUUCACGACAGGAGAAUGUCUUCCAAACCACGGAUGCAUUUGUACCUAUCCAAAUCCGAAUCGAAGUCAGCCAUGUCCUGAUCCACACUGUUAAUUUUUUAUAAUAAUGCGUGGUGAAUAAAGUGAUGAUGACUGUAUUAUUAUUUAUCAAAAUAAUUAAUAAUUAAAUAGUGGUUGUAAUCUGAUUUAUAAA